GAUGAACGCUGGCGGCGUGCCUAAUACAUGCAAGUCGAGCGAACAGACGAGGAGCUUGCUCCUCUGACGUUAGCGGCGGACGGGUGAGUACCACGUGGCUAACCUACCUAUAAGACUGGGAUAACUUCGGGAAACCGGAGCUAAUACCGGAUCAUAUAUUGAACCGCAUGGUUCAAUAGUGAAAGACGGUUUUGCUGUCACUUAUAGAUGGAUCCGCGCCGCAUUAGCUAGUUGGUAAGGUAACGGCUUACCAAGGCAACGAUGCGUAGCCGACCUGAGAGGGUGAUCGGCCACACUGGAACUGAGACACGGUCCAGACUCCUACGGGAGGCAGCAGUAGGGAAUCUUCCGCAAUGGGCGAAAGCCUGACGGAGCAACGCCGCGUGAGUGAUGAAGGUCUUCGGAUCGUAAAACUCUGUUAGUAGGGAAGAACAAAUGUGUAAGUAACUAUGCACGUCUUGACGGUACCUAAUCAGAAAGCCACGGCUAACUACGUG
This 497-nucleotide ribosomal RNA is filed under the name uncultured bacterium. RNAcentral describes it as "partial 16S ribosomal RNA". It matches the Rfam family "Bacterial small subunit ribosomal RNA", at positions 28 to 507 of the family's 1533-position model. The record is from RNAcentral.